AACGAACGCUGGCGGCAGGCUUAACACAUGCACGUCGAGCGCCCCGCAAGGGGAGCGGCAGACGGGUGAGUAACGCGUGGGAAUCUACCGUGCCCUACGGACUAGCUCCGGGAAACUGGAAUUAAUACCGUAUACGCCCUACGGGGGAAAGGUUUAUCGGGGUAUGAUGAGCCCGCGUUGGAUUAGCUAGUUGGUGGGGUAAAGGCCUACCAAGGCGACGAUCCAUUGCUGGUCUGAGAGGAUGAUCAGCCACAAUGGGACUGAGACACGGCCCAAGCUCCUACGGGAGGCAGCAGUGGGGAAUAUUGGACAAUGGGCGCAAGCCUGAUCCAGCCAUGCCGCGUGAGUGAUGGAGGUGUUAGGAUUGUAAAUCUCUUUCGCCGGUGAAGAUAAUGACGGUAACCGGAGAAGAAGCCCCGGCUAACUUCGUGCCAGCCGCCGCAGUAA
Molecule: ribosomal RNA, 447 nt
Filed under: uncultured bacterium
Lineage: Bacteria
Description: partial 16S ribosomal RNA
Rfam family: Bacterial small subunit ribosomal RNA
Source: RNAcentral